This is a non-coding RNA of Hypoxylon sp. FL1150, 72 nucleotides long. NCBI's taxonomy places the organism in Eukaryota, Fungi, Ascomycota, Sordariomycetes, Xylariales, Hypoxylaceae. The record is from the annotation of a GenBank genome assembly.
GCAUCAGUAGUUUAGUGGUAAAAUACAUCGGUUUCUAUCGUUGGGCCCCGCGUUUGAUUCGCGGUUGAUGCA